Cyprinus carpio carpio is the source of this 3475-nucleotide long non-coding RNA. The record is from Ensembl. NCBI's taxonomy places the organism in Eukaryota, Metazoa, Chordata, Actinopteri, Cypriniformes, Cyprinidae.
AUGUUCCAGAGGGACAAUGAUCCCAGAGGACCGCUCGCAGCAGCAACCUCAACUCAAACCUUAAACUCUUCCUUUUUUACUUUUCCUCUGCAUCAGCGUAGCGCCAUUUUGGAGAGUAUCCACGUCCAGCUCCACACUGAUGCAGAGGAGACAAAUUGUUCUUUUUUUUGUUUUCUUUGUGAACAAAAAGUAUUCUUGUUUCUUCCUAAAAUUCAGAUUGAACCACUGGUAGCUGUUUUGGACUGUUUUAACGAUGUCUUUCAUACUUUUCUGGACCUUGACACUGUUAUUUACUUGGAAGUCUAUGGGACAGUCACAAGCCUCUCUGUUUUCAUCCAAAAUAUCUUAAAUUGUGUUCUGAAGAUGAACAAAGCUUUUACGGGUUUGGAACGACAUGGGGGUAAGUGAUUAAUGACAAAAUUUUCAUUUUGGGGUAGAAUAAACCUUUAAUGAUGAACUUAUCAUUUACAAAACAUUCAUAAGCGAUUAAGAAGUGAUUUGUGUACAAUUUGUGUAUGUUUUGUUAAUUCAUUUACAAGUAAUUAGUGAAUGAUGAACUAAUCAUUUACAAAACAUGACUAUGUGUUCGUAAAUGAUUAAGAAGUGAUAUGUUAAUAUUUUUAUCUAUGUUUUGUAGAUUAAGUUAAAAAAAUAAAAAUAAAAGUGAUUAGAUGAUGAUGAACUUAUCAUUUACAAAACAAUAGGUUCACAAAUGAUUAAAUAAUAUGCUAAAGAUUUACAAUUCUGUCUUAAGUUAUCAAAAAAUAGCAUCAUGAAAUAAUCAAACAGAUUCUUAGUAAUUGGUUAAUAGUUCCUAGUUAAUAUAUUAUUAAUCACUUAGAAAUCAUUGACAUGUCAGCAUUGUACUAGUAUCUCAAUAAACAUUUAUUAAUCAUGAACAAAUGAUGAUUAAACCAUUAGUAAAUGAUCAGUAUAUAAUUUAUGUAUGUUUUGUUAAAGUUGUAAGCUGGUCUGUUAAAAAGCCCACAAAUGCAAUUAUGCUAAAACAGUAAAUAUAUAUUUUUUAAAAGAAUAAUAAAUGAUUUGCUGUCAAGUGAAUAAACGUGUAAAUGAUUUACAGUUAGGGGAUUCCAGUGGGUUUUCUCUCAGCACAGACUUGUGUUCUGUGUGAAGUGUUAGGGAUCUAGUGAAAGUGUUUUACCUUCCACUGAAGAUCACACCAGGGGCACAGUGUUGAUGAGUAAAACAUUUACAACUGAUGAGUAGUUUACACUUUAGAUUAGGGGAUGCAGAACGUGUUGUAAAUGAUUUAUUCAUGCGUUUACACAACAGGUUUUGAAUACUUUGUAGUGUGUACUGCAAUGUAAGGGGUGAGUGGUGAGGGUUAGACAGAUGUCUUCUCUGACACACAUGAAGUAUUUUUAACGCUGGGAGAUAAUAGUACAAUGUUGACAUUUCGACGAUUUAUAAGUGAUUAAUAAUAUAUUAACUAGUAACUUAUUAACUAUUUACUAAGGAUUUGUUUGAUUAUUUCAUAAUAUGCUAUUUUUUAAGAUAAUUUACAACAGAUUUGUAAAUCGUUAGCAUAUUAGUUCAUAAUCAUUUGAGAAUGUAAAGUCAUGUUUUGUAAAUGAAUAGUUCAUCAUUAUCUAAUCAAUAGAUUUAUAACUGAAUCUAUACAAAAUACAGAUAAAAAUAUUAGCAUACCACAUAUGAAUCAUUUAUGAACACAUAGUUAUAUUUUGUAAAUGAUUAGUUCAUCAUUAGCUAAUCACUUAUAAAUGACUUACAACUGAACGUUAUUAUAAAGUGUUACCAAAAAAAAUUAAUUAAUUAAUUAAUUAAUUUUAAAAAAAGUUCUACUGUCUGGGGCCAGCAGUCAGGUUAAAGUGGGUGUUUUACAACAUUUGUUUAACAGUAUUUUAAUGUAAAAUUAUGUUAAAUGUCAAGUUAGAUGUAUUCCAUUUUUUAACCAUACAUAGUAAAGUAACUUACUUUUAACCAAUAAUUAUUAUUUUAAUUUAUUUUUUAAUUGUAGCAUUUACAGUCGUUUACUGUUAAAAUUAAGAUUUUAUUUAUUUAUUUAUUUAUUUAUUUAUUUAUUUAUUAGUAUAGCACUAUGAAUUGUAAUAGGAUCUGUACCCACGCAUACUAUUUCAAAGCUCUAUAAUCUUCAGCUGGCAGUACUGGAGGUCUGCAGGUAACUGCUGCAAGCUUUGUGAAUGGCACAGUCCAUGAUUACAGUUGAAACAUGGAUAAUUGAAAUGUGUCUGAAUAGCAGUUAGGGUAAAACUUAUGCUCUCUUUGUUAUUCAAGUGUCAAGGCAUGGGAACAAUUUUCAAUUAAACUCUGUGGAUUGUGGCCAACAAACGGGAGAAGACUUGAAGGCUAACUACAGGCCUGACACUUGUCUGAGGAGGGAAGAUUGAUGGCGGCACUUUUAACAUUUUAGAAGGGGCUCACCCUCCGUUAAAAAGGUGGCACUGAGGGAAAUGUCACCAAAUGAAAGCAGUCAGCUCGGAAAUCCUCAGUGGAACAACAGCAACAUCGAUCCUACAAACUCAGGAAACAAGAGUGGGCUUAGAAAAGCCAAAGACCAACACAAGGGACCCUAAGUCUCUGGAUUAAACCGAGGCUGAAAUAAUAAAGCUUUUACAGCCUUAAACACAGAGCCAUGAACAACAUCACAGCUCUGAUCCAAAACCUGUUCUUGGGCAGAUACUAGCCAUAGUUAUAUUCUUUCUGUCAAACUCCAUGUUCAGAUACACAACAAUACAAGCAUCAUUUAGCUGAAGAGUUUAUGGAAAUGACUCUCAUUGAUAUAUGGAGAUGAGAGACAUGCGGAACAACAAAUUUGAGCACAAGUGAACUCACAGAUGCCAUAAGAGGUGACUUCAUUAUCAUAACCUAUUAGUUUUUCUUUGCACAUAAUUCACAGAGAGUGUAAACCAGAUUUGAAAAGUGGAUAUUUAUGCAGUCACCAUAAGAAGAUUACCUGAGAGAUGUUUAUAUCUGCAUCCACAUUGUAUAUUAAGGAAGCAAUUUGAUUGAAUUUGGCAAAGUCCAAAGCUCAUGUGUUUUGAAACCUGCUACACUCACUGCUGUGAUUUUAUGGUUUUGUCGUGAAUUAAUAGCAACGUGGCGCCAUCUAGUGGAAAACACGAAUAAGAGCACUUUGGCAACACAAGAACCAGUUCAUUCUGCCAUUAUUUACACCAUAGUGUUGUUCCAAAACACACACACACACACACACAUAUAUAUAUAUAUAUAUCCUUUCUAGUGGAACACAAUAGAAGAAAUUGUUGAGAAUCUUAACAUAGCAUAGAGAGACGUUAAAUAAUUUGUGCUCUUUUCGUAAGACAAUUAAAUCAUUUAGAGAUGUAGGGUUCAUAAAGGUCAUAUAGCCUUAGUCUAUCUUACUGAGCACAGUGUCUACAUUUAUGUAUGCAUGUAUGUAUUUAUUUUACAGCAGGAGCAGUAUAUGGUACAAAAUUUUGCUUCACUUUGAGACAUA